CUGUCUGGCAUUUCUGAGUUUUUUUUUCUGAUUAUUACCAGCAAGUACUUGUUAAUAAGAAUUAUCAUAUACUUUUGUAAAUGUAGAAAUAUUGGUAUGUAUUCCAAUACCAAACAAAAUUGCAUGUUUGUUUGUUUUAAGUGUGGUCAAUUGUCUAAAGCCUAGACGGACAAAGGAAGCUGCAAUUGCUUCUGUAACUCAUUGUCCCACCGACCAGCUGUGGUGACGCCAGUCGCCAACAGCUACAGCGCUUUUCCAGGAGGCUUCAGUUAUUCUGUGACUGGUGACCAAGGCACGACACAUCACCUCCCAGCAACUCACAAUCUCGCUGGCGGAGAGUGUUGCUGAGCAGCUGACCAACUGCGGCUGCUGGAGCGUUUCUCAGUCGUCGACCUCCGUAGACUGUCAAGCCUCCCUGGCCUUCUGCGACUCAAGAAGGAGGGAUUUUUAUCUGUGUUUACCAUACAAGAGACAUUUUAAUCUGACGAUUCGAUCGGAUCUGGAUCAUGAAUCCCGAG
Long non-coding RNA from Amphibalanus amphitrite, 518 nucleotides. RefSeq lists it as uncharacterized. The record is from RefSeq and is a predicted model, not a curated record. NCBI's taxonomy places the organism in Eukaryota, Metazoa, Arthropoda, Thecostraca, Balanomorpha, Balanidae. The transcript is spliced from 3 exons.